RNAcentral lists this long non-coding RNA (250 nucleotides) under Mytilus galloprovincialis (Mediterranean mussel). The record is from RNAcentral. Lineage: Eukaryota; Metazoa; Mollusca; Bivalvia; Mytilida; Mytilidae.
AAUAUAUAUAAAAAUGAUAUAAACAAUUUUUAAGUUCUUUGACUACAGUUAUACUGUGGCAGAAACCUAUUUUGUGUCAAAUAUUUAAUUGCAAUCCAAAUUCAAACCUGUACCAAACGUGAACUUUGUGUCCAUUUUGGCCCCAACUGUUCAGGGCAUCUGCGGUCGGAUCCAGCUGCGCUCAGCGAAGCAAUUUAUUUCAUUUAUAUUUAAAACAACAUCGAUGUAUCUUCUUAUUAUUAUUAUUCCA